GCCUGAGUGGUGGAAUUGGUAGACGCACCAGACUCAAAAUCUGGAAUUCUUUGGAGUGUGCGGGUUCAAGUCCCGCCUCAGGCACCA
Molecule: transfer RNA, 87 nt
Filed under: Fusobacterium polymorphum
Lineage: Bacteria; Fusobacteriati; Fusobacteriota; Fusobacteriia; Fusobacteriales; Fusobacteriaceae
Also listed under: 1 other name
Description: tRNA-Leu
Rfam family: tRNA
About the family: Transfer RNA (tRNA) molecules are approximately 80 nucleotides in length. Their secondary structure includes four short double-helical elements and three loops (D, anti-codon, and T loops).
Source: RNAcentral